RNAcentral lists this unclassified non-coding RNA (1143 nucleotides) under Hevea brasiliensis (rubber tree). Lineage: Eukaryota; Viridiplantae; Streptophyta; Magnoliopsida; Malpighiales; Euphorbiaceae. The record is from RNAcentral.
UCCGGCUCCAACCACCACCCUCGUACUCUCUCUCACCUUCAUCUCAGCUUUUCUCACCGCCACGCUGCCACGAUCUUCUCCGCCCUAUCGCUCCCCCGCCGCCGUCGUUCUCCGCCCUCCUCCACGCCGGCCGUCGCGAGCAGCAGAGAUUUUUGUGGCUGAAUUAAGGGGUGGGAGAUGUCGUUCGAUUUGCUGCUGAAGCCAUCGUGCAGUGGAUGCGGAUCCUCGACGGAGUUGUAUGGGAGCAAUUGCAAGCACAUGACAUUGUGCUUGACCUGUGGAAAAACUAUGGCUGAGAACAAGGGGAAAUGUUAUGAUUGUGGGGCUACUGUAACUCGCUUAAUAAGAGAAUACAAUGUUCGAGCAAGUGGGAGUAGCGACAAGAACUACUUCAUCGGUAGGUUCAUGAGUGGGCUGCCUAACUUUUCGAAGAAGAGAAAUGCUGAGAAUAAAUGGUCUCUUUACAAGGAUGGUCUACAAGGACGCCAACUUACGGAUGCCCUUCGGGAAAAGUACAAGAAUAGACCCUGGCUCUUGGAAGAUGAAACGGGCCAAUUUCAAUUCCAAGGUCAUCUGGAGGGCUCACAAUCAGCAACAUACUACUUGCUUGUAUUACAAGGGAAGGAAUUUACUGCCAUUCCUGCAGGUUCUUGGUACAACUUCAACAAAGUGGCACAGUAUAAGCAACUUACGUUGGAGGAGGCAGAAGAGAAAAUGAAGAAUCGAAAGAAGACAGCAGAUGGAUAUGAAAGAUGGAUGAUGAAAGCUGCAAGUAAUGGUCCUGCUGCAUUUGGUGAAGUUGAGAAGUUUGAUGAUAAAGAAAGUGUUGGUACUAGUGGUAGGGGACGAAGAAAAGCUGCUGGUGAUGAGAAUGAAGGCAAUGCCUCAGAUAGGGGAGAAGAAGAUGAAGAAGAAGAGGCACAAAGGAAGAACAGAUUGGGACUCAAUAAAAAGGGUGGCGGCGAUGAUGAUGAUGAGGAAGGUGCUAGGGGUGGUGACCAUGACUUGGAUGAUGAUGAUAUUGAGAAAGGAGAUGAUUGGGAGCACGAAGAGAUUUUUACUGAUGAUGAUGAAACUACUGCUCCUGACCGUGAAGAAAGGGAGGAUUUAGCCCCUGAAGUUCCUGCACCUCCAGAAAUCAAG